Molecule: ribosomal RNA, 253 nt
Filed under: uncultured bacterium
Lineage: Bacteria
Description: partial 16S ribosomal RNA
Rfam family: Bacterial small subunit ribosomal RNA
Source: RNAcentral
UACAGAGGGCCCAAGCGUUGUUCGGAUUCACUGGGCGUAAAGGGUGCGUAGGCGGGUCUUUAAGUCCGGGGUGAAAUCCUGGAGCUCAACUCCAGAACUGCCUUUGAUACUGAAGAUCUUGAGUUCGGGAGAGGUGAGUGGAACUGCGAGUGUAGAGGUGAAAUUCGUAGAUAUUCGCAAGAACACCAGUGGCGAAGGCGGCUCACUGGCCCGAUACUGACGCUGAGGCACGAAAGCGUGGGGAGCAAACAGG